This 253-nucleotide ribosomal RNA is filed under the name uncultured bacterium. RNAcentral's name for it is "partial 16S ribosomal RNA". It matches the Rfam family "Bacterial small subunit ribosomal RNA", at positions 524 to 776 of the family's 1533-position model. The record is from RNAcentral.
UACAGAGGGGGCAAGCGCUGUUCGGAAUUACUGGGCGUAAAGGGCGCGUAGGCGGCCUGCUAAGUCGAACGUGAAAUCCCCGAGCUCAACUCGGGAACUGCGUCCGAUACUGGCAGGCUUGAAUCCGGGAGAGGGAUGCGGAAUUCCAGGUGUAGCGGUGAAAUGCGUAGAUAUCUCGAGGAACACCGGUGGCGAAGGCGGCAUCCUGGACCGGCAUUGACGCUGAGGCGCGAAAGCCAGGGGAGCAAACGGG